CCUGCCCCAUUGGUUAGAUAACCUUCUUACGUUAUAGGAAAACCAACUCUGUUUAAAGAAACAAUAUAAAAAGUCUUUCUGUAGACUAAUGACAAUAAUCAUCUCCAAUUCAUUUGGGAAGAAGUUGUCAAUAUUUUCUUUCAAUAUCAAUUCUACAAAUCUGUAUAACUUUUCCUUGUAAUUCAACAAAUUCAUAGAAUUUGGUGGAUCCAUUACCAAGUCCAAGAAAAAUAGCUAUUCGAAAGUGACACAAAAUUGAGCAAAGAGUAGUCAAAAGGUCAGUAGAACAGCAAGAGAAAGAGGACGGCACGAAUAGCAGGAAAACAGAGUACCCAGUUGGUUGGAAAAGGGUAUCCAUUGAUAUUCUUUCUUUGAAGGACAAUUUUAAUCUGCAGAUCAAGUGUUUGAUUUAUUGCUUCACAGAGAAAUAUGAGCAAUAAAGCACCUGUUAAGUUAGAUGAUGAGCAGUUGGCUGAACUGCGAGAAAUUUUCCGAUCGUUCGACAGAAAUGAUGAUGGGAGUCUAACCCAACUCGAGCUUGGCGCGCUAUUGAGGUCUCUUGGUUUAAAACCAAGUCCUGAUCAGCUCGAAACUUUGAUUCAAAAGGCGGAUAAAAACGACAAUGGCCUUGUUGAAUUCUCGGAGUUUGUAUCACUCGUAGCACCGGAACUUCUUCCAGCGAAGUCCCCUUACACAGAGGAACAAUUGAAACAGCUAUUUAAGAUGUUUGAUAGGGAUGGAAAUGGUUAUAUUACGGCUGCAGAAUUGGCUCAUUCUAUGGCGAAGCUUGGACAUGCUUUGACUGCUGAAGAACUUACUGGGAUGAUCAGAGAAGCUGAUACUGAUGGAGAUGGCAGGAUCAGCUAUCAGGAAUUCACUCAGGCGAUUUCUUCGGCUGCUUUCGACAACUCUUGGGCUUGAUAUGUGAAUCUCCUUUCGACCAGCAGAAAAGGAAUAUGAUUGCAACGGUCUAGAUGGUGGCAUAGCAGGCCUCCUGUUCUUAGCAAAAUAGUUGGAAAUGAGCGUUGGUGCCAAAUGAAGAAGUAGAGGAUUUAAGAUGCAGAGUUGGUGUUGUUGUGUGCUUACAUCUUAAUGUAUUGCUUCUAUCUGUGAUGAUGCAACAUUAUCUUAGUUUAGCAUCCGAUAGAACGUUUCUUGCCUAGAGAAGAGAUACUUCUUUUGUCAUUCAUUUUCCUUUAUGAUUUAUUAUUGUACUUUCUUUUUAGAGUAAAUAAUACUGUUUGAGUGAUAAUUUUCAGUUUAUGUUAAGAGUUUUUUCAUA
This is a non-coding RNA of Solanum lycopersicum (tomato), 1282 nucleotides long. The record is from RefSeq and is a predicted model, not a curated record. NCBI's taxonomy places the organism in Eukaryota, Viridiplantae, Streptophyta, Magnoliopsida, Solanales, Solanaceae.